RNAcentral lists this ribosomal RNA (253 nucleotides) under uncultured bacterium. Its description in RNAcentral is "partial 16S ribosomal RNA". It matches the Rfam family "Bacterial small subunit ribosomal RNA", at positions 524 to 776 of the family's 1533-position model. The record is from RNAcentral.
UACGUAGGGUCCGAGCGUUGUCCGGAGUUACUGGGCGUAAAGCGCACGCAGGCGGCCCGCGAGGUGUCACGUGAAAGCCCCGGGCUCAACUCGGGAGGGUCGUGGCAAACCGGCGGGCUUGAGGCCGGUAGAGGUGGGUGGAACUCCUGGUGGAGUGGUGAAAUGCGUAGAGAUCAGGAAGAACACCCGUGGCGAAGGCGGCCCACUGGGCCGGUGCUGACGCUGAGGCGCGAAGGCGUGGGGAGCGAACGGG